UAGGGAAUCUUCCACAAUGGGCGCAAGCCUGAUGGAGCAACACCGCGUGAGUGAAGAAGGGUUUCGGCUCGUAAAGCUCUGUUGUUAAAGAAGAACACGUAUGAGAGUAACUGUUCAUACGUUGACGGUAUUUAACCAGAAAGUCACGGCUAACUACGUGCCAGCAGCCGCGGUAAUACGUAGGUGGCAAGCGUUAUCCGGAUUUAUUGGGCGUAAAGAGAGUGCAGGCGGUUUUCUAAGUCUGAUGUGAAAGCCUUCGGCUUAACCGGAGAAGUGCAUCGGAAACUGGAUAACUUGAGUGCAGAAGAGGGUAGUGGAACUCCACGUGUAGCGGUGGAAUGCGUAGAUAUAUGGAAGAACACCAGUGGCGAAGGCGGCUACCUGGUCUGCAACUGACGCUGAGACUCGAAAGCAUGGGUAGCGAACAGGAUUAGAUACCCUGGUAGUCCAUGCCGUAAACGAUGAGUGCUAGGUGUUGGAGGGUUUCCGCCCUUCAGUGCCGGAGCUAACGCAUUAAGCACUCCGCCUGGGGAGUACGACCGCAAGGUU
This 549-nucleotide ribosomal RNA is filed under the name uncultured bacterium. Its description in RNAcentral is "bacterial SSU rRNA". It matches the Rfam family "Bacterial small subunit ribosomal RNA", at positions 355 to 895 of the family's 1533-position model. The record is from RNAcentral.